CUAAUACAUGCAAGUCGAGCGGACAGAAGGGAGCUUGCUCCCGGAUGUUAGCGGCGGACGGGUGAGUAACACGUGGGUAACCUGCCUGUAAGACUGGGAUAACUCCGGGAAACCGGAGCUAAUACCGGAUAGUUCCUUGAACCGCAUGGUUCAAGGAUGAAAGACGGUUUCGGCUGUCACUUACAGAUGGACCCGCGGCGCAUUAGCUAGUUGGUGGGGUAAUGGCUCACCAAGGCGACGAUGCGUAGCCGACCUGAGAGGGUGAUCGGCCACACUGGGACUGAGACACGGCCCAGACUCCUACGGGAGGCAGCAGUAGGGAAUCUUCCGCAAUGGACGAAAGUCUGACGGAGCAACGCCGCGUGAGUGAUGAAGGUUUUCGGAUCGUAAAGCUCUGUUGUUAGGGAAGAACAAGUGCGAGAGUAACUGCUCGCACCUUGACGGUACCUAACCAGAAAGCCACGGCUAACUACGUGCCAGCAGCCGCGGUAAUACGUAGGUGGCAAGCGUUGUCCGGAAUUAUUGGGCGUAAAGGGCUCGCAGGCGGUUUCUUAAGUCUGAUGUGAAAGCCCCCGGCUCAACCGGGGAGGGUCAUUGGAAACUGGGAAACUUGAGUGCAGAAGAGGAGAGUGGAAUUCCACGUGUAGCGGUGAAAUGCGUAGAGAUGUGGAGGAACACCAGUGGCGAAGGCGACUCUCUGGUCUGUAACUGACGCUGAGGAGCGAAAGCGUGGGGAGCGAACAGGAUUAGAUACCCUGGUAGUCCACGCCGUAAACGAUGAGUGCUAAGUGUUAGGGGGUUUCCGCCCCUUAGUGCUGCAGCUAACGCAUUAAGCACUCCGCCUGGGGAGUACGGUCGCAAGACUGAAACUCAAAGGAAUUGACGGGGGCCCGCACAAGCGGUGGAGAUGUGGUUUAGUUCGAAGCACCGCGAAGAACUUACCAGGUCUUGACAUCCUCUGACAACCCUAGAGAUAGGGCUUUCCCUUCGGGGACAGAGUGACAGGUGGUGCAUGGUUGUCGUCAGCUCGUGUCGUGAGAUGUUGGGUUAAGUCCCGCAACGAGCGCAACCCUUGAUCUUAGUUGCCAGCAUUCAGUUGGGCACUCUAAGGUGACUGCCGGUGACAAACCGGAGGAAGGUGGGGAUGACGUCAAAUCAUCAUGCCCCUUAUGACCUGGGCUACACACGUGCUACAAUGGACAGAACAAAGGGCUGCAAGACCGCAAGGUUUAGCCAAUCCCAUAAAUCUGUUCUCAGUUCGGAUCGCAGUCUGCAACUCGACUGCGUGAAGCUGGAAUCGCUAGUAAUCGCGGAUCAGCAUGCCGCGGUGAAUACGUUCCCGGGCCUUGUACACACCGCCCGUCACACCACGAGAGUUUGCAACACCCGAAGUCGGUGAGGUAACCUUUAUGGAGCCAGCCGCCGAAGGUGGGGCAGAUGAUUGGGGUGAAGUCGUAACAAG
RNAcentral lists this ribosomal RNA (1462 nucleotides) under Bacillus sp. 01074. RNAcentral's name for it is "bacterial SSU rRNA". It matches the Rfam family "Bacterial small subunit ribosomal RNA". The record is from RNAcentral. Lineage: Bacteria; Bacillati; Bacillota; Bacilli; Caryophanales; Bacillaceae.